AUGGGAGGGGGAGAGGAUCCUUGGAUCAGCCGCGCUGCGAAGCGGGACUGGGCAGGAUUGUGCCAAGCGGGACUUUUCCUGCUGCCAGAGCUCCUCCGCAGCGUCACUCGCUGCCGGGAAGGGAGGGAGCGCGGUGUGUGUCUGCCGGGGGCACGGUGCGGAGCGGGAAGAGAUCCUCCGAGAACCCCCACUGAAGCAGAAGCAUCUAAAACAUAUCCAGAGAGGUCUGCAGAUCCGGUGGAGAUGGGAGCUCCUGUGCCUUUCCUCAAUGCUCUGCCUAAAACCUCCACUCUCUGGUGGCGAGGAGCCUCUCGGUUGGCCAAGGCCCCAUUCCAAGGAGGGAAGAUGCACCCUGCCCCUCUGCCAGCCCGGUCAGAUUUGGCUGCUGUGUCAGGAGUUCUGGUCAGGAGGAGGAGAACUCACCCAGCGAUGCCCGAUCCAGCUACAAUCCUAACUGAGCUGAUAGUCCUAUCAGAAGCACAGAUUUCAGCCUGA
Molecule: long non-coding RNA, 495 nt
Filed under: Numida meleagris (helmeted guineafowl)
Lineage: Eukaryota; Metazoa; Chordata; Aves; Galliformes; Numididae
Description: lncRNA (ENSNMEG00000020383.1)
Source: RNAcentral